UUGGAUUUGGAAAGUGUUGCCCUAAUAGAG
RNAcentral lists this non-coding RNA (30 nucleotides) under Rattus norvegicus (Norway rat). Lineage: Eukaryota; Metazoa; Chordata; Mammalia; Rodentia; Muridae. The record is from RNAcentral.